This is a long non-coding RNA of Saccostrea cuccullata (small rock oyster), 1639 nucleotides long. RefSeq lists it as uncharacterized. The transcript is spliced from 3 exons. The record is from RefSeq and is a predicted model, not a curated record. NCBI's taxonomy places the organism in Eukaryota, Metazoa, Mollusca, Bivalvia, Ostreida, Ostreidae.
GUAAGUUGCGCAUGACUCUCCAAUCGUGAAGGAAGAUAAUGUCGUCUGAAGAUGGAAAGGGAAGAGGGAAAUAUAGAAAAUAGAAAUAUUGACAUUGUUACAAAAUCAUGGGCUAGAGUGCCUGAGAAGUAUGACUAUGAAGCUUUUCUGCUCAGAAGUAUGAAGAAUAUUGACAAAAAUCCUUAAUCCAGGUCUGCUGGAAAUUUGGGAGUACAUACUAGAUUUCCUUGUCAAAGCAGUGUAGGUAUAAUCAAACCCCAAAGUUCAUAAUGCCAUUUUGAUAUGUCUUCCCAAGUCCUGAUGUUUUCCACCAGAAAUCAUUACAAUAUCAUCAUAGAGAAGAAUACUAGGCCAAAUUCAUGCUGUACUCUCUGACUAUAGGUGUGUAUUUACCACAAUUUACAACAUAAGAAAUUAGUUUCUCCUUUCCUAUAUAAAUCAUUAAACACUUCUUAUAAUAAUCGUAUGUCUUGUCUUUAUGCACUCGGUGUGAGGGAGAUUCAGUAAUGAAAAAUUCAAAUUGUUCGUGUUUAAAAUUCACACCAGCAUAUAUAGAUCUGACAUGAUAUACCACUGUGGUUUCUUAUUAAUUAGAUGUGUGGGAAGUAAAAUUUUAGAUGAAGAUGCAUGAUUAAUUAUGAUACUGCAAACCGACUGACACUUUAUCAGUAUUCAUACAACAACAUUUAAUGUCUAAUGGAAAGAAAAUAUAUUUCCAUCUUAAUGAUACUGGAAUUCCAUACCUCGAACACACAGAGCGAUAAAAAUCUUUAAGGGUACACAAUAAGCUGGGUGUCUUAGAUUUCAUCAUUUUACAUUCAUUUAAUAUUUUUUUGUGUAGCUAUUGAAUUUUGAUAGAUUACAUGGGGAGAAAUGCAUAGAAAAACUACUCAAUAGAAGUGACUCUUCCGCCGACCCAGGACGACGUGACAAAGGCACUGCCACGUUUUUUGUUCAACUUGGGGUAUCAUCACCCCACAGAUAUAAUCACAUCAAGACAUUACGCAGUGUAGUACAAUCUCUGCCAUAGAGCUACAUAAUGAAAGGCAAAUUUCAUCAAUUAUUUUAUUUCCACCCCUUGCAAUUGUCGGAAUUCGACUUCUGAGUAGAAUAAUUUUUCUUUUGUCCUUGAUUGAGAAGUGAACAAUUUCGCCUUGCCUAGUUCGGUUGACAUAUGUUGUCAUAGCCUUUUAACACUUAUUCGCUUAUUCAUUAAAAAUACACUUUUAUUUCAAUUCUGUUGUCAUGAUAAAGGAAAACUGAAGUAUUUAAAUACACUAACUAAAUUAGGCAUCACAGUUUACAAGUGGCUGACUCUUGCACUGAACAAUGCUUUCAAGAAUUCAAACUUAUUUUUGAAAUACAAUUAUAGAUAAUAAUAGGGUUGUCUGGUUUGGAAAUUUGAUUUAAUUACUGCGAAACUGUGAAUUUAGUAAGAAGGUGGACCACACAUAUCAAACUUCAGUCAUUUUUUAACAAUGUGCAUUUCAGGUCAAUUUCUUUGGUGGUAUUUUGUGAUCUGUGGUUCAUUUUAGUUUCUGUAAACAGCUCAGCUAGAGACUGUUGAUAGAUACUAAGCAGUUAAAGGCUGUUUGAUAUCUUCUGAUAGGACAUAAAUACUAAAAAACCUGUCUUGUCU